RNAcentral lists this ribosomal RNA (1230 nucleotides) under uncultured fungus. Its description in RNAcentral is "eukaryotic LSU rRNA". The stretch from base 595 to 1230 matches the Rfam family "Eukaryotic large subunit ribosomal RNA", at positions 1 to 649 of the family's 3401-position model. Lineage: Eukaryota; Fungi. The record is from RNAcentral.
AAGUCGUAACAAGGUUUCCGUAGGUGAACCUGCGGAAGGAUCAUUAUAGAAAAUUAAGAUUGGUGUUUUAAAGGCAACGCGAAUUACUUUCAACCCUAUGUUUACCUAUUCUCUUAUUUCUUUGGCAGAUAUAUAGAGCCUGUUCUAAGACAGUUCUGCUGCUUAAAACAGAGUAUUCUUAAUCUGUCAGAGGGACAAGUCUUAAAUAAACCAUGAAAUACAUGCUGUCUGAGUUACAAUAUUAAAUUAUUUAAAAACUUUCAACAACGGAUCUCUUGGUUCUGGCAUCGAUGAAGAACGCAGCAAAAUGCGAUAAGUAAUGUGAAUUGCAGAAUUUAGUGAAUCAUCGAAUCUUUGAACGCACAUUGCGCCCUUUGGUAUUCCAAAGGGCAUGCCUGUUUGAGCGUCAUUACAUACUUCAAGUACUGUUAUUGUGCUUGGUUUUGGCUAUAAAGAUUGAUCUUUAAGAAUGUCUUUUAAGCUUAAAUGUUACAUCAAGAAGCCUGUUUAUCAGUUAGACGUACCAAGUUAAUAUUAUAUUACCUGUCAACUGUAAUAGUUCCUACUUGCCCAUUAUAACUAUUAUAAAAAUUUUGACCUCAGAUCAGGUAGGGAUACCCGCUGAACUUAAGCAUAUCAAUAAGCGGAGGAAAAGAAACCAACAGGGAUUGCCUCAGUAACGGCGAGUGAAGCGGCAACAGCUCAAAUUUGAAAUCCGGCUAUAGGGCCUGAAUUGUAAUUUGUAGAGGAUGCUUUGGUCUGACUACUAGUUUAAGUUCCUUGGAACAGGAUGUCAUAGAGGGUGAGAAUCCCGUAUGUGACUAGAUUAGUUCUGACUAUGUAAAGCUCCUUCAAUGAGUCAAGUUGUUUGGGAAUGCAGCUUAAAAUGGGUGGUAAAUUUCAUCUAAAGCUAAAUACUGGCCAGAGACCGAUAGCGCACAAGUAGAGUGAUCGAAAGAUGAAAAGCACUUUGGAAAGAGAGUUAAACAGUACGUGAAAUUGUUGAAAGGGAAGCGCUUGCAAUCAGACUUGUCCACUUGUGAUCCGCCUGCAUUUUUGCAGGUUCAUUCACAAGUGAUCAGGCUAACAUUGAUUUGAGUGGCUGGAUAAAGACCUAAAGAAUUCAGCUCCUCUAGGGGAGUGUUGCUUAGCUUUUGGUGCAGUGCAGCCUAUUUGGAUCAAGGACCGCGCAUUUAUGCUAGGAUGUUGGCAUAAUGGUUGUAAGCGACC